RNAcentral lists this ribosomal RNA (479 nucleotides) under uncultured bacterium. RNAcentral's name for it is "bacterial SSU rRNA". It matches the Rfam family "Bacterial small subunit ribosomal RNA", at positions 64 to 533 of the family's 1533-position model. The record is from RNAcentral.
GAGGGGCAGCGGGUAAGUAGCUUGCUACUUAUGCCGGCGACCGGCGGACGGGUGCGUAACGCGUAUGUAACCUACCUUUGACAGGGGGAUAACAUCGAGAAAUUGGUACUAAUACCCCAUAACAUCACCGGAGGCAUCUUCGGUGGUUGAAAACUCAGGUGGUCAGAGAUGGACAUGCGUUGUAUUAGCUAGUUGGUGAGGUAACGGCUCACCAAGGCGACGAUACAUAGGGGGACUGAGAGGUCAACCCCCCACAUUGGUACUGAGACACGGACCAAACUCCUACGGGAGGCAGCAGUGAGGAAUAUUGGUCAAUGGACGCAAGUCUGAACCAGCCAUGCCGCGUGCAGGAAGACGGCUCUAUGAGUUGUAAACUGCUUUUGUACGAGGGUAAAUCCCGAUACGUGUAUCGGGUUGAAAGUAUCGUACGAAUAAGGAUCGGCUAACUCCGUGCCAGCAGCCGCGGUAAUACGGAGGAU